This is a long non-coding RNA of Cyprinus carpio (common carp), 476 nucleotides long. NCBI's taxonomy places the organism in Eukaryota, Metazoa, Chordata, Actinopteri, Cypriniformes, Cyprinidae. The record is from Ensembl.
AUGAUGGCUACGCUCCUGAUGUGUGGGUCUGUAUGGACAUGUUUUGUACAUACAAAAUCAGCUUCUCCUAAAAUGGAAAUUGCAGUGUUGAGGAGUGGCUUGAUAGGUUUCUGUGUACCGUUUCAGAUUUUUAGUUUCUCAUUCAGAGUCUUCGGUUUAGACUCAUCCCAUCCGUGCCUGGGCUCUGUAUUUUUAGUGUCUUAUUCAGAGUCUUCGGGUAGGACUCAUCCCAUCCGUGCCUGGGCUCUGUGUAAGUUCACCAUUUUACUCUCUUCCUAUAUUUAGAUACUUUUCAGAGCUGUUUGCGCUGAGGUAAUUGGAGUAUAAUCCAUGCAAAAGCAUGAUAAUAUUAUUAUAGUGUUUUUAAUCUAAUAAUAAUAAUAAUAAUAAUAAUAAUAAUAAUACAUUUACCAUUAGCAUGAAGAGAUGCCUGUGUUUAUAAUAAAUACUUCUCAGAAAAGAUGAUUGGCUUUUCC